AUACAGGUUACCUGGAGAGGCUAUCGGAGCCUGGUUCAAUCUAGUGAGUUCCCCGUGGGCGAUCUGCCCUGCCCUCUGGGACAAGCCCUGGAAACGGGGUCUAAUACCCGAGUAACCACUNCUUACGGGCAUCUGUGAGGGUUGAAAGCUCCUGGGGAGCAGGAAGAGCCCGCGGCCCUAUCAGCAUGUUUGGUGAGGUAGUGGCUCACCAAGGCGGAAGACGGGUAACCCGCCUGAAAGGGCGACCGGCCACACUUGGGACUGAGACACGGCCCAGAAUCCUACGGGAGGCAGCAGUGGGAAAUAUUGCACAAUGGGCGAAAACCUGAUCCAGCGACGCCGCGUUGAGGGAUGACGGCCUUCGGGUUGUAAACCUCUUUCAGCAGGGAAGAAGCGAAAGUGACGGUACCUGCAGAAGAAGCGCCGGCUAACUACGUGCCAGCAGCCGCGGUAAUACGUAGGGCGCAAGCGUUGUCCGGAAUUAUUGGGCGUAAAGAGCUCGUAGGCGGUCUGUCGCGUCGGAUGUGAAAGCCCGGGGCUUAACCCCGGGUCUGCAUUCGAUACGGGCAGACUAGAGUGUGGUAGGGGAGAUCGGAAUUCCUGGUGUAGCGGUGAAAUGCGCAGAUAUCAGGAGGAACACCGGUGGCGAAGGCGGAUCUCUGGGCCAUUACUGACGCUGAGGAGCGAAAGCGUGGGGAGCGAACAGGAUUAGAUACCCUGGUAGUCCACGCCGUAAACGGUGGGAACUAGGUGUUGGCGACAUUCCACGUCGUCGGUGCCGCAGCUAACGCAUUAAGUUCCCCGCCUGGGGAGUACGGCCGCAAGGCUAAAACUCAAAGGAAUUGACGGGGGCCCGCACAAGCAGCGGAGCAUGUGGCUUAAUUCGACGCAACGCGAAGAACCUUACCAAGGCUUGACAUAUACCGGAAACGGCCAGAGAUGGGCGCCCCCCUUGUGGUCGGUAUACAGGGGGGGGCAUGGCUGUCACCAGCUCGGGUCGGGAGAUGUUGGGUUAAGUCCCGCAACGAGCGCAACCCUUGUUCUGGGUUGCCAGCAGGCCCUUCGGGGGGAAGGGGAACCCACAGGAAACUGCCGGGGCCAACUCGGAGGAAGGGGGGGAAGACCCCAAGACCACCAGGCCCCUUAUGUCUUGGGGCUGCACACGUGCCACAAUGGCAGGUACAAUGAGCUUGCCAAACCCCAAGGUGGAGCGAACCUAGUCAAAAACCCGGUCUCAAUUUCGGAUUGGGGUCUGCAACUCGACCCCAUGAAGUCGGAGUUGCUAGUAAUCGCAGAUCAGCAUUGCUGCGGUGAAUACGUUCCCGGGCCUUGUACACACCGCCCGUCACGUCAGGAAAGUCGGUAACACCCGAAGCCGGUUAGCAACCUGGUGUCCAGUGAC
RNAcentral lists this ribosomal RNA (1402 nucleotides) under Streptomyces sp. RNAcentral describes it as "bacterial SSU rRNA". It matches the Rfam family "Bacterial small subunit ribosomal RNA". The record is from RNAcentral. Lineage: Bacteria; Bacillati; Actinomycetota; Actinomycetes; Kitasatosporales; Streptomycetaceae.